This 406-nucleotide ribosomal RNA is filed under the name uncultured bacterium. RNAcentral describes it as "partial 16S ribosomal RNA". It matches the Rfam family "Bacterial small subunit ribosomal RNA", at positions 30 to 526 of the family's 1533-position model. The record is from RNAcentral.
AUUGAACGCUGGCGGCAUGCCUAACACAUGCAAGUCGAACGAGUGGCGGACGGGUGAGUAAUGUAUGGGAACCUGCCUGGUGGAGGGGGAUAACUACUGGAAACGGUGGCUAAUACCGCAUACUAUCGGAGGGGCCGAGAUGGGAUUAGCUAGUUGGUGGGGUAAUGGCUCACCUAGGCGACGAUCCCUAGCUGGUCUGAGAGGAUGACCAGCCACACUGGGAAUGGUACACGGGCCAGACUCCUCCGGGAGGCAGCAGUGGGGAAUAUUGGACAAUGUGCGCAACCCUGAUGCAGCCAUGCCGCGUGUGUGACGAAGGCCUUCGGGUUGUAAAGCACUUUCAGCGGUGAAGCGGUAGCUGCAGAAGAAGCACCGGCUAACUACGUGCCAGCAGCCGCGGUAAUUC